GAGCACAGGACUUCUAGGCCUCCACUGGAUUUCUGGACCUUUGCUUCUGGGCCUGGUGUGUAAAAAUUCCUGAUCUUCUUAUGUGCUAUACAGAUAGUUGAAGGUUAAUUAGCAGUAUAACUAUAAAUAGUAAUGCUGCCAGUCUCCUUCAGACAAGA
RNAcentral lists this small nucleolar RNA (158 nucleotides) under Otolemur garnettii (small-eared galago). The record is from RNAcentral. Lineage: Eukaryota; Metazoa; Chordata; Mammalia; Primates; Galagidae.